GCGAGGCACGAAGGGCCGCUCAGGGCGCAGGCCCAGAUCCCUGAGAGGUCGGAAAGGGUGGAUCCCUUCUUUAGAUGCCGGUUUUAUUCCCAACGUCGGGUCUCGGUUUUGUUUCCUCCUUUCGCGUCUUUCCCGGACCCGCGCCCUGUGGAGAGAUUUUCUUCCCCCUUUACCCCCUGUCCAGGCCACAUCUGGCAGGAGGCUUCUCGGAAGCUGAGACAUCAUCCCUAGGUAUUGUAAAUACCUAUUUCAGGAAGAUCAAUUCAAAUAUUUGUUUGGCAUUUAAAGGAAUUUUAAGAAAGACACUGUAUUUGCUCAGGCUCUCAAUUUUUCUGGCCUGAAUUUCCACCAAAAGCCCUUCAGCUCUUCCCUCAACCUCCAAUCCUACCCACUCCAGUCUACCUCCUCCACCCUACAGCUAGAGUGAGCUUUCAUUUUAUGGAUCUAAUCCCAAUCACUUCUCCGAUGAAAAGUUGCAAUGGAGCUCAUUAUAGACAAGGUGAAAAUUUUUUGGCAUGCCAUUUAGCACCUUUUAAGAGUGGGUGUCUCUCUACUCUCCAUCAUAAUCUUCUUUAUGCAAUAAAUUCCAAAAAUAUUUGUUGGUUGCUUAUUACACACCAGGAUUUGCUGUAGGCCCUAAAAGCAGCAGUGAACAAAAGAGAAAAAUCCCCGCCUUUGUGGAGCUUGCAUUCUACUGGAUGGGGACAAGCAUGUAAAUAAAAUGUGUAGUUUAUCAGA
Neofelis nebulosa (Clouded leopard) is the source of this 738-nucleotide long non-coding RNA. RefSeq lists it as uncharacterized. The transcript has 3 exons. The record is from RefSeq and is a predicted model, not a curated record. NCBI's taxonomy places the organism in Eukaryota, Metazoa, Chordata, Mammalia, Carnivora, Felidae.